Podarcis lilfordi (Lilford's wall lizard) is the source of this 210-nucleotide non-coding RNA. Lineage: Eukaryota; Metazoa; Chordata; Lepidosauria; Squamata; Lacertidae. The record is from the annotation of a GenBank genome assembly.
UUGAAGUUUAUCUGAAAUCUGUUUCUCUGCAAUUCCUCUGCAUUGGUUCCAGUCCCGUACUCUGGAGCAAGAGAGAACAAAUCUUUUCCACAUUCUGCAUGACAGCUCUACAGCUGUUUGAAGACUACUAUCACAUAUUUACUUAACUUUCUCUUCUCCAGGCUAAGCCUACUCAGGUCUUGUAAAAGAUUGUGAACAAUGGAAAGUACU